GUGCUAUAUGAAAGGAGAGGUUAGAAUUUCCCUCCACAAGAAGGGAAGAGGCCCUCAGGCCUGAUAGCAAGUGUAGGGUUAAGGCAUUACCACCUACUUUGUGGCAGCUAACCAUAGUUUUUA
Otolemur garnettii (small-eared galago) is the source of this 123-nucleotide small nuclear RNA. The record is from Ensembl. NCBI's taxonomy places the organism in Eukaryota, Metazoa, Chordata, Mammalia, Primates, Galagidae.